GUAAGGAAUAUUGCGCAAUGGGCGAAAGCCAGACGCAGCAACGCCGCGUGGACGAUGAAGGCCUUCGGGUCGUAAAGUCCUUUUCAGGGGGACGAGAGAGGACGGUACCCCUGGAAUAAGUCACGGCUAACUACGUGCCAGCAGCCGCGGUAAAACGUAGGUGGCAAGCGUUAUCCGGAUUCACUGGGCGUAAAGCGCCUGCAGGCGGUCUCGUAAGUGGGAUGUGAAAUCUCCUGGCUUAACCGGGAGGGGCCAUUCCAUACUGCGGGACUGGAGGGCAGAAGAGGGAAGCGGAAUUCCCGGUGUAGUGGUGAAAUGCGUAGAUAUCGGGAGGAACACCAGUGGCGAAGGCGGCUUCCUGGCCUGCUCCUGACGCUAAGAGGCGAAAGCUAGGGGAGCGAACGGGAUUAGAAACCCGGGUAGUCC
Molecule: ribosomal RNA, 426 nt
Filed under: uncultured bacterium
Lineage: Bacteria
Description: bacterial SSU rRNA
Rfam family: Bacterial small subunit ribosomal RNA
Source: RNAcentral